Molecule: ribosomal RNA, 372 nt
Filed under: uncultured organism
Description: bacterial SSU rRNA
Rfam family: Bacterial small subunit ribosomal RNA
Source: RNAcentral
CGAAGGGUGCAAGCGUUACUCGGAAUUACUGGGCGUAAAGCGUGCGUAGGUGGUUCGUUAAGUCUGAUGUGAAAGCCCUGGGCUCAACCUGGGAAUGGCAUUGGAUACUGGCGACCUAGAGUGCGGUAGAGGGGCGUGGAAUUCCCGGUGUAGCAGUGAAAUGCGUAGAUAUCGGGAGGAACAUCUGUGGCGAAGGCGACACCCUGGACCAGCACUGACACUGAGGCACGAAAGCGUGGGGAGCAAACAGGAUUAGAUACCCUGGUAGUCCACGCCCUAAACGAUGCGAACUGGAAGUUGGGGACAACUUGGUCCUCAGUUUCGAAGCUAACGCGUUAAGUUCGCCGCCUGGGAAGUACGGUCGCAAGACUG